RNAcentral lists this long non-coding RNA (200 nucleotides) under Nicotiana benthamiana. RNAcentral's name for it is "long non-coding RNA (NBEN_LNC000043)". Lineage: Eukaryota; Viridiplantae; Streptophyta; Magnoliopsida; Solanales; Solanaceae. The record is from RNAcentral.
GAGUAAAUAUGCAAGAGAAAUCGAACCACUAUGUCUCUUUCAUAUCCCUUCUAUGUUAGAAUUGAAAUCUCUUGGCCCUUUUCUCUCCAUCCCCCCUUCGGAAAAUCCUCCAAAGUUCUCUCUACUUAUCAGGAACCAACCUGAUGAAUGAAGGGCUGCGAUUCAUUGAAAUCGAAUCUACGCUCCAUAUUCAUCAAGCA